UACGUAGGGGGCUAGCGUUGUCCGGAAUCAUUGGGCGUAAAGCGCGUGUAGGCGGUCCGGUAAGUCCGCUGUGAAAGUCGGGGGCUCAACCCUCGAAUGCCGGUGGAUACUGUCGGGCUAGAGUGCGGAAGAGGCGAGUGGAAUUCCUGGUGUAGCGGUGAAAUACGCAGAUAUCAGGAGGAACACCAAUUGCGAAGGCAGCUCGCUGGGACGUUACUGACGCUGAGACGCGAAAGCGUGGGGAGCAAACAGG
RNAcentral lists this ribosomal RNA (253 nucleotides) under uncultured bacterium. RNAcentral's name for it is "partial 16S ribosomal RNA". It matches the Rfam family "Bacterial small subunit ribosomal RNA", at positions 524 to 776 of the family's 1533-position model. The record is from RNAcentral.